GAUGAACGCUGGCGGCGUGCUUAACACAUGCAAGUCGAACGAAGCAUUUAAGACAGAUUACUUCGGUUUGAAGUCUUUUAUGACUGAGUGGCGGACGGGUGAGUAACGCGUGGGUAACCUGCCUCAUACAGGGGGAUAGCAGCUGGAAAAGGCUGGUAAUACCGCAUAAGCGCACAGUACCACAUGGUACAGUGUGAAAAAAUCUGGUGGUAUGAGAUGGACCCGCGUCUGAUUAGCUUGUUGGCGGGGUAACGGCCCACCAAGGCGACGAUCAGUAGCCGACCUGAGAGGGUGACCAGCCACAUUGGGACUGAGACACGGCCCAGACUCCUACGGGAGGCAGCAGUGGGGAAUAUUGCACAAUGGAGGAAACUCUGAUCCAGCGACGCCGCGUGAGUGAAGAAGUCGUUCGCUUUGUAAAGCUCUAUCAGCAGGGAAGAUAGUGACGGUACCUGACUAAGAAGCUCCGGCUAAAUCCGUG
Molecule: ribosomal RNA, 481 nt
Filed under: uncultured bacterium
Lineage: Bacteria
Description: partial 16S ribosomal RNA
Rfam family: Bacterial small subunit ribosomal RNA
Source: RNAcentral